This 254-nucleotide ribosomal RNA is filed under the name uncultured bacterium. RNAcentral's name for it is "partial 16S ribosomal RNA". It matches the Rfam family "Bacterial small subunit ribosomal RNA", at positions 524 to 776 of the family's 1533-position model. The record is from RNAcentral.
UACGGGGGGGGCAAGCGUUGUUCGGAAUUACUGGGCGUAAAGGGCGCGUAGGCGGUCUUUUAAGUCUUGUGUGAAAUCCCUCGGCUCAACUGAGGAACUGCACGGGAUACUGGAAGACUUGAGUUCGGGAGAGGGAAGCGGAAUUCCGGGUGUAGCGGUGAAAUGCGUAGAUAUCCGGAGGAACACCGGUGGCGAAGGCGGCUUCCUGGGCCGAUUACUGACGCUGAGGCGCGAAAGCUAGGGGAGCAAACGGG